GAUGAACGCUGGCGGCGUGCCUAAUACAUGCAAGUCGAGCGAACAGACGAGGAGCUUGCUCCUCUGACGUUAGCGACGGACGGGUGAGUAACACGUGGAUAACCUACCUAUAAGACUGGGAUAACUUCGGGAAACCGGAGCUAAUACCGGAUAAUAUAUUGAACCGCAUGGUUCAAUAGUGAAAGACGGUUUUGCUGUCACUUAUAGAUGGAUUCGCGCCGCAUUAGGUAGUUGGUAAGGUAACGGCUUACCAAGGCAACGAUGCGUAGCCGACCUGAGGGGGGGAUCGGCCACACGGGAACUGAGACAGGGUCAAGACUCCUACGGGAGGCAGCAGUAGGGAAUCUGCCGCAAUGGGCGAAAGCCUGACGGAGCAACGCCGCGUGAGUGAUGAAGGUCUUCGGAUCGUAAAACUCUGUUAUGGGGGAAGAACAAAUGUGUAAGUAACUAUGCACGUCUUGACGGUACCGAAUCAGAAAGCCACGGCUAACUACGUG
RNAcentral lists this ribosomal RNA (497 nucleotides) under uncultured bacterium. RNAcentral describes it as "partial 16S ribosomal RNA". It matches the Rfam family "Bacterial small subunit ribosomal RNA", at positions 28 to 507 of the family's 1533-position model. The record is from RNAcentral.